AAGGGAGACCUAAUUCAGGUAGGAGACGAAAAAAAGUAGUCCCUACCAAGAAUCAAUCCCAAAAGGUCGGAGCGAGGCAAAAUUGGCUUUCAAACUAGGUUCUGGGUUCACAUAAGACCUGAAUCAGGAACAAGGGCUAUUAGCUCAGGUGGUUAGAGCGCACCCCUGAUAAGGGUGAGGUCCCUGGUUCGAGUCCAGGAUGGCCCACCUGCACAGGUGGCAAAAACAAAGAAAAAAAGCUCCGAAUCAGCACCUUAUCUUACUCAUAUAGUAAGAGAGGAUGCUGGCUCUGAGUUCAGAGUCCAGAGGAACCUUGAAAACUGCAUAGAGCUAGGUGAAAAAGCCAAAAAAGAAGACCGCAAGGUCAAGCUAAUAAGGGCUAACGGUGGAUACCUAGGCAC
This 401-nucleotide transfer RNA is filed under the name uncultured Microcystis sp. RNAcentral describes it as "partial contains 16S-23S ribosomal RNA intergenic spacer, and 23S ribosomal RNA". The stretch from base 134 to 207 matches the Rfam family "tRNA". Lineage: Bacteria; Bacillati; Cyanobacteriota; Cyanophyceae; Chroococcales; Microcystaceae. The record is from RNAcentral.